This is a non-coding RNA of Pelobates cultripes (western spadefoot toad), 218 nucleotides long. The record is from the annotation of a GenBank genome assembly. Lineage: Eukaryota; Metazoa; Chordata; Amphibia; Anura; Pelobatidae.
GGAAGAAUUCCAGGAGCUGCAGCUUGUUCUAAAGUCUCAAACAUUUUUGCCACAGGACCAGAUACGUCCAUUAAUUUAUCUUGACAAGGUUUUAGUGAUCUGUCAAGUCCUUUACUUGGGUUCUUGAUUUUGUUACAAAUUGCACAAUAGUGGAAUCUAGAUCAGGGGUCUGUGCGACUUUCUUAGACAAAGUCGGUCUAGGGCAUUCAGCUCUUGGC